This 241-nucleotide unclassified non-coding RNA is filed under the name plant metagenome. Its description in RNAcentral is "partial contains small subunit ribosomal RNA, internal transcribed spacer 1, and 5.8S ribosomal RNA". The record is from RNAcentral.
UUUCCGUAGGUGAACCUGCGGAAGGAUCAUUAACGAGUAAGGGUCUUUGGGCCCGUUCUCCACCCCUUUGUGUAGCUAUCAUGUUGCUUUGUCCGGCCCGUCUCACCACCGCCGUAAGCUUGGCUUCGACGAAUCUUCUGCCGCGUGCCCGUCAGUGGCCCCUUCAUAUUCUUGAUCAAGUAUGAUGUCUUAGUUAAAAACUAAACAGUUAAAACUUUCAACAACGGAUCUCUUGGUUCUG